UUUUUUAUAUUAUUAUUAUUUUUUCUAUUCCCCUGAUGCCCUGUUACAGGUGAGCAGCCCUUCAGGAACUCAGAUUAUAGAUAUCACCAAGGUGGAUUAUGGUAUACCGUACAGACUUAUGGCAAGAUAAUUCAUAAAUUACUUGGAUUGGAGCAUGAGACCUGGUGAAUAUAACGCACAUUUACAUAUUUAAUCUUUACUACAUUGAACUUACUCUUAGUUAGGACUAAUUUCCAGCUUUCCACUAACCAAUUAAUCAACUAACUUACAGUUAGAUAUAAAAUUAACAAUUUAGACUGUUUUUUCAAAAAGAUUUCCAGGUUUGGAACAAGUAACAUUGGCCAGACAUUGUUUCUUUCCUUAAUUUGGACUAAUAACCAUUAUUGUCUAUCUCUUUUUACAUAGUAUUUAAUAUGGGUGGUUACAAUUUAACAUUAUUGUCAGGAUUAUAGUGUUAAUAAAGUUUAUUUGAUAUUAUGUUUGACGUUUCGUAUUAGGAUGACGUCAUCACGUCAAUGCGGAAGUGAAAGGAUUUUUUUACCACCGGAAUCGGCAUUUAACCAGCAAUGUUCAGCGGUUAAACAGGGGCCAUUGAAGGGAACUGAAAUCCCGAGCGCGCAGCCCGACGACUAUUUCAGCCGCCUGACAUAAUCAGCUUGACGACUAUUCCAGCCGCCUGAUAUAACCAACUACCAUCCACACUUUACUCCUAUGGCAUGUUCAGAGGACAUAAGAGCU
Non-coding RNA from Pelobates cultripes (western spadefoot toad), 738 nucleotides. The record is from the annotation of a GenBank genome assembly. Lineage: Eukaryota; Metazoa; Chordata; Amphibia; Anura; Pelobatidae.